GCUGAUGGUGGAUAAUAGAAAGCAGUUCUUGCUCUGAACAGAAACGGAAAAAACGUAAUCACGGGCGAAGCCAGUCCGGGUCUCCACUCCAAAUGCCACAAUAAUGCGCUGUAUUAUGUGCUCACGUGGUCAUACGUCAACUUAAAUCCUUUUAUUUGAAAUAGGGAAUCACUGAAGGAACAAGGGUUGGAAGCGCAAGCCUCGUCUGUGUGUGUGUGUGUGUGUGUGUGUGUGUGUGUUUCUCCUCCUUUCUUUUCUGCUUCUUCUCUCACCCCUCCUUACGCUUUAGCCAAGAGGGGGGGCACAGAUUAUCUUUUAUUUUUUAUCCCACUCCUCCCACGAAUAUUUUUCUAUAUACGUUUCAGACGGAAGAUAGGAAGAAUCAACAAUUCCCCCCCCCCUCUCUCAUGUGAUUACCCAUAACUUUUUGAGGCUAACCAACUGGCCUCGUUCUGAAGGAGAAACUCUCCGCUGACCCUUAGAGGGAAAAGGGCAGCGGGCUCCAUCCGAGAUGAACUUCUGCCACUAUUUCCAUAAGGAAAAGCCCUUCAGUAUUAAAGGGGGGGGGUAUCCGCCAUCCCACGGGCUCCUCUGUACUUCUAUUGAAUGGAGCUUGCUGAACACCCACGUUACAGCAGAGCCCUUGUAGGAACCCCAAAGACCCGUAAUUACCUGACAAAAGGCACAAGGUUCCUCUGGUAUAGAGAUGGUGGGCUUCUAUACUUGUUAACACCCUAGGAGGACGACGACGAGGAGGAGGAAGGCGUCUGCUGGCUUUGUGGUGGAUCUACAUUUUGCAAACUCUGUUGGGACCUUCUCUUUCAACCUGCGCUUACGCAUUUCCUAUGCAAGUACUUGAGUGAUGUACAAAAUUAUAGGGUUCUGGAACGAUGAAAUAUUUAGCGCGGAAUAAUGAUCUAACUGUCCGGAGAGGGAGGGUUUAAAAAAAAAAGAAAAAGAGAAAGCAAGCAAGAAAGUUGGGGGGGGGGAGAUCUCACACAGGUCCCUGGAGUGAGCCUCAGAAAUGAAUUAAUCUUUCAUUUGCAUGCAGAUCUAAAAGCUCUCUUUUUCUUUCUGUUCAGUUUCCACAAGCUACAUAGUGCUCUAGCAAAGUGACCAUGUCUUACAAGGCAAACGUCGUUUCUACCUUAAAUGCACUACGGGCCCACUUUGCCGAUGGUGGUUCUGAAUUUCUUGCCCGGUUUCCUAUGUAACAUCCCUCUCAGCUGUUCCUCCAACCAACUCCAAAGCAAGUUUCACUGUAUUCUAUUUCUUUCAUCACUUGCAUUAGGGCUUGGGGCGGGGAGAGAACCCCAUUUACUAUGUGUGAGCAGAUGAAAUGUAUCGUCUGCCAGCCUUCUGAUCAAAUUAUGAGCCGUCCUCUUCCUUUGACUGCAACUUAACUUUUAAGAGGUUGGUGGAUUUAACCGCACUAGUAACCUUCAUCUCCUUCCACAACCGUGUUAAGUGGAAAUGCGGGGAUUUCUGCGCUCACACAAAAAGCUCCCCUUGUCACCCAGAAGCUCUCUGGGCUCAGAGUUUUCAUAAGCUCAGAGUUCUUCUGAAAGCAACUUUCUUUCUUUCUUCCCACUGAACUCAGUGGCAGAAUACCCAAAGAUAUAUUACUUCGAAGCUACCUUUAUACAUUUUCCUUCCCGGAACAUAGCCUUUAAUGGAACCAAAUCACACCGCUUGAUAGGACUAGAACCUGAAGAGCUUAGGCCACAAGCAACCUUAAAAAAGAAAGUGAGGGGAGUAUUCGAGGGAAACUUGUAGAAUAGCCAUGGACACGUCCAUCACUAAUAGUUCCACUGACAAAUGCUAAACUUUAAACAGGGAGCACCCUUAUCCAAGAGAUGGAUUCCUAGGCAUUUAAACUAAAGUGCCUUCAGCCCAGUCAAAAGAGGCCUUCAGAAGUUCUUCAGCAACAAUGCAGCCAAAAUUAAUGGAUAAUGGAGCAGAUGGGGGAGGGAGCCACAGCGAAUCUUCCUGAAUCUCGAGUAAAACGUUAUCGACUGCUUUGAGUCAGAAGCAGAAAGAUGACUUUACCAAAUAGAAACUACAAAGCCAUAAAUCAUAACUCUGGGGUGCAGAUUCAACUUAACGCCAUCUAUGAGUACAUCCUUUCCCCCUUUCCUUUCCUUAUUUUUAAAAAAGGAAAGGGCCCUUUGCUGUGUAGGUCUGUAUUAGUUUUAACGAUCAAGUUAAUGUGAAAUCUGCCGUUGAACUAUUAACUCCGGUGCGUAUUGCAUGGAUAGUGAAUAUGUGGGGGUUUUUUUCUCCUAAAGAAAAGUAACUUCUUGGUGAUUUAUGAGGAGCUAAUUCUUCAGGCUGUGCUUUAUAGGAGACAAGCUUGCUUCACUGGAGUCCUGGUAACUCUGCUUAUUAUUUCUCCUUUUUCAAAACAAAAACCCACCAAAAAGCUGACCUGGAAUUCAUUUGCUUGGGUCGAACUUCAGAGAUCUUGAAUUUUGAGAAAUACAAAUGCGAAUGGACAGGAAGGCAGCAGCCUCGCCACCCAUUUCGCCUUCCUCGCGGAGGUUCUCCGUUGCCUUCAUCUGUUACUUCGAGGACUGGGAAAUCUGAACGCUUUUGGGAGAGCUAAAAACGCUACAUUUCAUUUUAGGGAACAGGGCUAGGCUGCCCCGCCUCUUUCUGCACACAUAGCAGUGGAAUGCAUGCGGAAGAAAGAAGGCGCGGAGCAGAGCUGAGGUCGAGAUCCAAGACACAAUUACUUGGAGGGAGAGAGAGCGCGCGCUGAAAUCAAUGGACAUCGUUUUUCAAAUGAUUGGUUAGCAUCCAAGUGCAACUAAGCUGUAAAGUCUCCACGAAUUUGAAAGCUGCAAGGCUUAAGCAUAUUUACUCAGAGGGCUCUUACCUCCUCGCGUUUCCAACCACCGGGCAGAAUUGUUUCCAGAUUGUAGGUGUCUUUAAACCGUAUUUUCCGGUGCACCGGAGUGCUGUAAAUAAAGAACAAGCAAUAGCUAAAUGAGAGAACUAUAGGGGAUGAGCAUUAUUUUCGAGACAAGACGUGGGUCAGCUGCUGAGUUGUUUUAGCAGAUCCUCGGUGGGUAUAUAAUCAUUAAAAGGACGCUGUUGA
Long non-coding RNA from Podarcis muralis (Common wall lizard), 3100 nucleotides. RefSeq lists it as uncharacterized. The record is from RefSeq and is a predicted model, not a curated record. NCBI's taxonomy places the organism in Eukaryota, Metazoa, Chordata, Lepidosauria, Squamata, Lacertidae.